GUGUCAGCAGCCGCGGUAAUACGAAGGGUGCAAGCGUUAAUCGGAAUUACUGGGCGUAAAGCGUGCGUAGGUGGUUUGUUAAGUCUGCUGUGAAAGCCCUGGGCUCAACCUGGGAAUGGCGGUGGAUACUGACAAGCUAGAGUGCGGUAGAGGAGGGUGGAAUUCCCGGUGUAGCGGUGAAAUGCGUAGAGAUCGGGAGGAACAUCAGUGGCGAAGGCGGCCCUCUGGACCAGCACUGACGCUGAGGCACGAAAGCGUGGGGAGCAAACAGGAUUAGAUACCCCCGUAGUCC
Molecule: ribosomal RNA, 292 nt
Filed under: uncultured bacterium
Lineage: Bacteria
Description: partial 16S ribosomal RNA
Rfam family: Bacterial small subunit ribosomal RNA
Source: RNAcentral